Schistosoma mansoni is the source of this 46-nucleotide non-coding RNA. The record is from Rfam. NCBI's taxonomy places the organism in Eukaryota, Metazoa, Platyhelminthes, Trematoda, Strigeidida, Schistosomatidae.
GCACUGCUGAGGAGUCCCAUAAUAGGACGAAACGGCUGUCUAGUGC